UGUGAGAUAUCUGUAUCUUCAAGGAACAGCAUUCUGUGAGAUGCAUGAUGGCUCAAGAGUUGCCCAUGAAGGAAGGGUGCAAGGAAAACUAACUGAAGAAGAAGGCAAAGGAGAAUCAUGCAACCCAACCCUCCUGGCUUCACUCAGAAUCAGAUUCUGCAGCACAAAGACUCAGAAAGAAGAAACAGAGAAGGAAUCCACCCAUAAAUAUAUCCCACUUUCAGCUUUAUAGCUUCCCUUUUCAAGCAUCUUCUCCCCCUGCCACAAGCCAUUUCUGCUUGAUGUCACACACACACCAGGCAAGUUCCAUUGCAGCACUUCAUUGUCAUUGCAGAUCAUGUCGCCUGACAACUCUCUGGCUUUGCUCAGUUCAUCUGCAUGACUAUGAGAAUGAACAUCGACUGCGAUGGCUGCUACCGAAAGAUCAGGAGAGCUCUUCUGCAAAUGCAAGAGUUGGAGAGCCAUUUGAUCGAGAGGAAGCAGUGCAGGGUCAGCGUGUGCGGGUCGUUCGUCCCCCAGGAUAUGGCGAUCAAGAUCAGGAGGAAGACGAAUCGACGGGUGGAGAUCUUGGAGAUCAAGGAAGUGGAGGUAGGACAUGAUGGCGGCACAGAUCCCAAACCCCCCUCAUGAAUUAUAGCCGAUCCCAAACCCUCAUAUAAUGCGUACCAGACACAUGGUAAGGUGUAAUAUUUCCUUGAAAGAAGGAUCAUUUGCUAUCA
Musa acuminata AAA Group (dessert banana) is the source of this 719-nucleotide long non-coding RNA. RefSeq lists it as uncharacterized. The transcript has 2 exons. NCBI's taxonomy places the organism in Eukaryota, Viridiplantae, Streptophyta, Magnoliopsida, Zingiberales, Musaceae. The record is from RefSeq and is a predicted model, not a curated record.